CAGUAGCCGCGGUAAUACGAAGGGUGCAAGCGUUACUCGGAAUUACUGGGCGUAAAGCGUGCGUAGGUGGUGGUUUAAGUCCGUUGUGAAAGCCCUGGGCUCAACCUGGGAAUUGCAGUGGAUACUGGGUCACUAGAGUGUGGUAGAGGAUAGUGGAAUUUCCGGUGUAGCAGUGAAAUGCGUAGAGAUCGGAAGGAACAUCUGUGGCGAAGGCGACUAUCUGGGCCAACACUGACACUGAGGCACGAGAGCGUGGGGAGCAAACAGGAUUAGAUACCCCUGUAGUCCCUGUCUCUUAUAC
This 301-nucleotide ribosomal RNA is filed under the name uncultured bacterium. RNAcentral's name for it is "partial 16S ribosomal RNA". It matches the Rfam family "Bacterial small subunit ribosomal RNA", at positions 509 to 807 of the family's 1533-position model. The record is from RNAcentral.